AAGUCGUAACAAGGUUUCCGUAGGUGAACCUGCGGAAGGAUCAUUAUUGAAAUAAACCUGAUGGGUUGUUGCUGGUUCUCUAGGGAGCAUGUGCACACCUUGUCAUCUUUAUAUCUCCACCUGUGCACCUUUUGUAGACCUUUCAGGUCUAUGUUGCUUCAUUUACCCCAAUGUAUGUUAAUAGAAUGUUGUGCCCUGUAUAAUAUAUACAACUUUCAGCAACGGAUCUCUUGGCUCUC
RNAcentral lists this unclassified non-coding RNA (239 nucleotides) under air metagenome. Its description in RNAcentral is "partial contains small subunit ribosomal RNA, internal transcribed spacer 1, and 5.8S ribosomal RNA". The stretch from base 1 to 46 matches the Rfam family "Eukaryotic small subunit ribosomal RNA", at positions 1786 to 1831 of the family's 1831-position model. The record is from RNAcentral.